RNAcentral lists this ribosomal RNA (490 nucleotides) under Solecurtus divaricatus (divaricate short razor). Its description in RNAcentral is "partial 16S ribosomal RNA". It matches the Rfam family "Bacterial large subunit ribosomal RNA", at positions 1808 to 2605 of the family's 2925-position model. Lineage: Eukaryota; Metazoa; Mollusca; Bivalvia; Cardiida; Solecurtidae. The record is from RNAcentral.
CAAAAACAUGGCUCUUCGUUUGUGUAGGAAGAGGAGUCUGGCCUGCCCGGUGGAGUUGAUCUAAACGGUCGCAGCUGUCACUGUGCUAAGGUAGCGUAAUAGGUCGUCCUUUAAUUGGGGAAAGGUAUGAAUGGUCGGAUGAUGGAAAGUCUUUAUUAGUGGUAGAUUUUGAAUUUUACUUUUGGGUGCAAAGGCUCAAAUGGGAUUAUUAGACGAGAAGACCCUGUUGAGCUUGUUAUACCGAGGCCUUGUUUGGCUUUCGGUUAUGUUUUUUCGGGGCUGAAAGGAAGGGAGAGUGAUGCCUUCUUUUUUAAUACUGACCCGGCAUGGCCGGUAAGAAGAAGAUAGUUACCACAGGGAUAACAGCGCAAUCUCUUUGUCAAGGUCAUAUUUGAGGGGAGGUUUGCGACCUCGAUGUUGAAUCAGAACUCCUAUCAGGUGUAGCAGCUUGGUAAGUGGGACUGUUCGUCCUUUGAAGUUCUACGUGAUC